UUAGUCAAUGCCGAAAAAGAGGGCCUAGGUUUCAUUCAACAAAAAAAAGUGAUCGUAGUGGGUAUUUUUAACAAAGAAUGCUUUAAAAGGAUUUUUUUUUUACAAAAUGAGGCAUUUAAAAGGUUCCGACAAAUUUCAUGAAUAUAUAUUAUAUAAAAGGCCAGCCCAAUUUGUUAAAAGAUGUUUCGUUGCUAAAUUACCCAACAAUCUUAUCAUCUUCUUCCUCAAACUUGAAACCGCCAUAUUCCUCUGCUUCCUUCUUCGAAGUACUUGUUUUGUAUGAUGAAACCUCUACUACUAAUACUAUCUCUUGUAUAACUCAACUUCAAAUGUACAUCCACAAAAGAAUGGCAUUUACAACAGCUAAGUUAUCUGAAUUACCAUUGCGCAAUACCCUCCCUUUCACCUGCUCACACUCUUCUUCUUCCCCUUCUUCAAUCUUCAAAUCUCCUAAACAUUGUUUUUCUAUCCCAAUUACCUUUUCUUCUCUCAAAACUACACAAACCCACAAAAACCCACAUUCAAAUUCUUCCCAAAACCCUUCUAAAACCCCUAAUUCAGCUCCUUGGAUCAAGAAAUGGCCUUCAAUUGACCCUUCAACUGUUCAAAAUGAUGCUGACUUUGGUAAUUCUAGUAAAGGGAGUAGAAUUGUGGAGAAUAAAGGGAAGAGUGCAAUUGAGAGGAUUGUAAAUAGGUUGAGGAGUUUGGGUUUGGAAUCAGAUGAUGAGGAUAUGAGUGAUUUGGAUGAGGAGGGUUUUAGGGAGGAGGAGAAAUUGGGGGAUUUGUUGAAGAGGGAUUGGAUUAGGAAUGAUACUAUGUUGGUUGAAGAAGAGAAGAGGAGUGAUUAUGGGUUGUUGCCUUGGGAGAGGGAGGAGGGGGAGGAGGAGGAUGUGGGUGUGGUUAGGGAGGUGAGAACAAGUGAAAAGAAGGCGAAACGGGUUGUUAGAGGGAAUACAUUGGCUGAUUUGACGAUUGAGGAAUCGGAGUUGAAGAGAUUGAGAGGGCAAGGGAUGGUAUUGAGGGAUAAAGUUAAUGUGCCUAAAGCUGGACUUACUCAGGCUGUGUUGGAGAAGAUUCAUACAAAAUGGAAAAAAAAGGAGUUGGUUAGGUUGAGAUUUCAUGAAGAUUUAGCUCAUGAUAUGAAGACUGCCCAUAUUCUUGUAGAGCACCGAACUGGGGGUUUAGUCAUAUGGAGAUCGGGAAGUGUUAUGGUGGUUUACCGUGGAAAGAACUAUGAAGGCCCCCUACCUAAAUUAAAUCCAGAUACAUCAUCUGUAAAUAUAGCUGCAGUAAAUAAUGGGAAUGAUGCUGGUGCAUCAUUAGAAACUAUUUCACCACAAGUAAAAGCUCUGGAACAAUCUAGGAAUCUGACAGCUGAGGAAGUUGAAUAUAAUGAUCUUCUUGAUUGUUUGGGGCCUCGAUUUGUUGAUUGGUGGGGUACUGGAAUUCUUCCGGUUGAUGGUGAUUUGCUUCCUCAAACAGUUCCUGGUUUCAAGCCACCAUUGAGGUUACUCCCAACUGGGAUGCGGUUGGCAGUGACUAAUGCUGAGUUGACCACUUUACGAAAACUGGCCAAGUCACUUCCUUGUCAUUUUGCUCUUGGUAGAAAUAGACAUCAUCAGGGCUUGGCAGCUGCUAUAAUUAAGCUUUGGGAAAAGAGUUUAGUUGCAAAGAUUGCUGUAAAACGAGGAAUUCAGAACACUAACAAUGAGCUGAUGUCAGAGGAGUUGAAGGCACUCACGGGAGGCACCUUGCUGCUGCGAAACAAGUAUUUUAUUGUUAUAUAUCGUGGAAAAGAUUUCCUUCCACGUAGUGUGGCUGCUGCUGUUUUGGAAAGACAGGAACUCACAAAAAAGAUCCAAGAUGCUGAAGAAACUGCACGAAUUGGUUCAUAUGUGGCACCUACAACUUAUGAAGCUGAAGAUGCCCCUGCUGGUACACUAGCUGAGUUCUAUGAAGCCCAAGCCAGAUGGGGCAGAGAAAUAUCAGCUGAAGAACGAGAAAAGAUGAUAGAAGAAGCUUCCACUGCUAAAAGUGUGAAAGAGGUCAAGCGAGUUGAGCAUAAAUUAGCUCUGGCCCAGUCAAAAAAGCUCAGAGCAGAGACGUUGUUAGCAAAAAUAGAAGCAUCAAUGGUACCUGUUGGUCCGUCUGAUGACCUGGAAACAAUCACUGAUGAGGAAAGGUUUACUUUUCGCAGGAUUGGCUUAAGCAUGAAAGCAUACUUGCCUCUUGGUAUCCGUGGUAUUUUUGAUGGUGUAAUUCAAAAUAUGCAUUUGCAUUGGAAACAUAGAGAACUAGUCAAGCUAAUCACCAAACAGAAGACCCUUGCCUUCGUAGAGGAAACAGCUAGACUAUUGGAGUAUGAAAGUGGUGGCAUAUUGGUCGCUAUAGAACGGGUGCCAAAAGGUUAUGCUAUCAUAUAUUACCGUGGAAAGAAUUAUCAGAGGCCUGUUAGCUUGAGGCCAAGAAAUUUGUUGACAAAAGCAAAAGCAUUUAAACGUGCAAUUGCAAUGCAGCGGCAUGAGGCCCUUAGUCAGCACAUAUCUGAAUUGGAGAGUAGCAUAGAACAGAUGAAAAACAGUGGUGAUAGUAAAUCUACAGAAGAUGGAAAGGCCUCCAGCUUUAAUGUUGAAUUUGGUUCAGACUCAGAAAUCAGCCAUGGUCUCUCGAUGAUUAAUACAGAUUCUGGUGAUGAGGAAGAUGAUGAAGAAGAUGAUGACUUCAAUGACUCUGAUGAUGACUUUGAUUAUUCUGAUGACGAUUCCAAUGAGUUCACAAGUAUUGAGGAUCUGGAUUAAUCCUUCCGUUAAAGUGCUGCAAAACUAUAUUUCUUAUUGGAUGACUUGUAUGAAAGGACUCAAAUUAAGCUAAAGUGUUUCAUGUAGAUUGCUGAGCGAGUUGCUUGUAUCUACUAGGACUGCAUCCCUCUAUAAUCAUAUUCACUGCAAAACCAAUUUUAUGAGGGCUUCCAUAAUAUCAACUAAUUACUUAAGAGAAUUCGAUAUCAUCUUAUAGAAUCCUGCAACAUACUUGGCCUCAACCCUCAAGCCUCGAACUUGCCAACUGUGAAAGCAAAUCGAGUAGCUAAUAUGGCUGCAUCUAUUUCCAGAUCGUUGAGAGACUAUACCCGGUCAAUUUGUAAUUUAAAUCUUCUAUACUUUUGAGACAAACUAGAUUUCUAAAUUUAAUUUUCUUCCCUUUGUAAUUUAGAUUAUUCUGUAUUUUUAGAUAAAUUCUGUAUAUGUACCACCGAGUGCCUUUGCAAAAUUGCAAGUGCACAAAAUUCACAAAUCUAUUAAUUAAAAGCCUCUUCAUCUA
RNA transcript from Chenopodium quinoa (quinoa), 3318 nucleotides. It is a transcript of the gene named CRM-domain containing factor CFM3, chloroplastic/mitochondrial-like, with no coding region annotated. The transcript is spliced from 10 exons. The record is from RefSeq and is a predicted model, not a curated record. NCBI's taxonomy places the organism in Eukaryota, Viridiplantae, Streptophyta, Magnoliopsida, Caryophyllales, Amaranthaceae.